CCUACGGGAGGCAGCAGUGAGGAAUAUUGGUCAAUGGGCGCGAGCCUGAACCAGCCAAGUAGCGUGAAGGAUGACUGCCCUACGGGUUGUAAACUUCUUUUAUAAAGGAAUAAAGUGAGGCACGCGUGCCUUUUUGUAUGUACCUUAUGAAUAAGGAUCGGCUAACUCCGUGCCAGCAGCCGCGGUAAUACGGAGGAUCCGAGCGUUAUCCGGAUUUAUUGGGUUUAAAGGGAGCGUAGAUGGGUUGUUAAGUCAGUUGUGAAAGUUUGCGGCUCAACCGUAAAAUUGCCGUUGAUACUGGCAGUCUUGAGUGCGGUUGAGGUAGGCGGAAUGCGUGGUGUAGCGGUGAAAUGCAUAGAUAUCACGAAGAACUCCGAUUGCGAAGGCAGCUUACUAGACUGCCACUGACGUUGAUGCUCGAAAGUGUGGGUAUCGAACAGGAUUAGAUACCCCAGUAGUC
RNAcentral lists this ribosomal RNA (460 nucleotides) under uncultured bacterium. RNAcentral describes it as "partial 16S ribosomal RNA". It matches the Rfam family "Bacterial small subunit ribosomal RNA", at positions 338 to 795 of the family's 1533-position model. The record is from RNAcentral.